UGUAAGUAGUAUUGAUUUACAAUUUACACAUUUAGCAGGAGCAGCAAUGUGGUGAACACCGCUUCGCAGUGCUACGAUCGGCCAAUUCUUCGAAUUCAAUUAAGUAAAUGGUCAGCGUCUGCAAGUGUGGGGUAAUUCCAUGAAAUAGCGCUGCUUGCAGUUUGCGCACCUACUAAAAGACGGUCGCUGCUCAACACUGCAGGUCCAUUCCAUUUGAAAUGGAAAUUCUCAGCCAUCGUUAGCUUCUUUCUGCACUCUCAACAGACAUAGGAAUCUUCACCGAUGGUUCUAACGAUGGGACCACAGCGAUGGAACGCCAGCAACAACCGAUUCUUCUGAUACUUCGGACCCACCGACACCACCCAUCAAGAAGCGGAAGACACUUUGAAGACCUUGACAGAUGGAAUUUUGAAGGAGGUGGGAGCACGGAACGAAAUGCAGAGCGACGCCACCUUGCGAUGCAUUCGCGUGACGACAUUACCUUCACAAUAAUUUGCCUUGAAGAACAAAAUUA
Long non-coding RNA from Drosophila pseudoobscura, 514 nucleotides. RefSeq lists it as uncharacterized. Lineage: Eukaryota; Metazoa; Arthropoda; Insecta; Diptera; Drosophilidae. The record is from RefSeq and is a predicted model, not a curated record. The transcript is spliced from 3 exons.